Molecule: long non-coding RNA, 700 nt
Organism: Passer montanus (Eurasian tree sparrow)
Lineage: Eukaryota; Metazoa; Chordata; Aves; Passeriformes; Passeridae
Exons: 6
Source: RefSeq, a predicted model, not a curated record
UGCAGCUCAAGUGACAUUGAGGAGAAACUGUGCAAUUAUCCAGCUGCACUGACACCAUUAGGGAGCUUGUUCUGGAUCACAGUUGUCUUGAGUGUGAAUUUGGAGUUUUUGCUUUGUUGUGGAGUUAUUUGGAAGAAGAUGCGGUUUAUGUUUCCUGCAAUUGUCCCAGUUCACCAAGUAAGACUGAUUUUUCAGUCAAUGGUGUGUUAAAGUUUUUUUAAAAGUCUUUUUUAUGUUUUGAAGAACUUCAGAAAAAAAGACUAAAGUUUUAAAGUAUCUGUGAAUCAAGUCUUCGGCAAUGCAAUGGACAAUAACCCUCUGCAUUUGGUUUGAGAGGAAAAAUUGGGUCAAAAAGGAGAAGAAGAAUGAAUUAAAGCAUCACCAGUUGGUUCAACAAUUCCGUUCACUUCUGCUGACAAGAAAGGAUGUUGGCUGAUGGCAUGGAGAUCUAUAACUCACUUGGAAGGGAGCUGCUAAACACAAUGGCUCACAAAUCUUCAUCUAGGGCAGCAAUACUUACAAGUACUGUGGCAUAGAUGUGUGAGAAUGAUUUCAUUAUUGAAACCAUUGCUAAGGGAAGGAAUUGAGGAGGUGAAAAUGGGCAGAUACUGAUUCUGCACCAGAAGCUCCUAGAACAUAAAACAUCUAUAGAUGCUAGCUGAGAAUUUUGCAAGUGUGUCUGAAUGCCAAAUCAACUGAG